This is a non-coding RNA of Oryctolagus cuniculus (rabbit), 12249 nucleotides long. Lineage: Eukaryota; Metazoa; Chordata; Mammalia; Lagomorpha; Leporidae. The record is from RefSeq and is a predicted model, not a curated record.
GUUACAACAGGUAGGUGAGUGGGUGGGGGCGGGCAGGUGAGCUCAACUCCCGGAUCAGCCGGCUCCUGGCACGGCGACCUCUCUGAGCCUCACCUGUGGAACGACCUCAGAAGUAUCAUCCUGCGGGACUGUCGGGAGGAUUCAACCAGGUGUCUGAUGAGGACUUACACUGGACAUCAAUGAGGAAUUUCUCUCAUGUAACAAGCAGAAGAAUAUGUUGGGUCUCCAUCCUCCCUAUUGUAUGAGGCAAAGCUCAUCCUUGCACCAUCGUGGAAUGCUCCUUAGCCCUUGAGAAGGAAGAGGCUGGCACUACAUUUCCCAGACCCCUUUGUGACUGUGGACCAUACCUCAUCCACUGUGUGAGUUUCAGAAGGUGGAGAAUAGGAGCCGUGUUGACCGCCAAGAGUUGUUAUGUUGUUAGGGAAGCUUCAAGGACCGGCUCCCACUGUCUGGAGGAGGUUUGAGAAGCUAAAUAUGAAGGUGACUGCUUCUACCCCUGUCCAAACAGUACUGGAUUAGCUUUGUCCACAAAGAGGAGACAUUGAAAAUGGGUCCUUGCAAGCCUCAAGAGCCAAGCAUUUCCUACUUCAACCCUCAGGUGGGGCAGGCAGGACUUGCUCUCACAUGUUAGCAACUCUAUUUCUUUACGCCACCCCUGCCAUAGGCGUAAUCUAGAAGUGCGGUCUCCCAACCACUCUCUUGUAGUUGGAGGAAUGGUGGAAUCUACCCCACAGCUCGGCCAUCAGCUGUGCAUACCAGGUAACCACACGAAGGCCUCAGCUCCAGCCCAGGAAGCUUUGUUCCUGGACUGAUGCUGACUUCUCGUUUCCUUUUGCUGAGGUCAAAGCUGCACUCAGUUCUGCUCUAAGAGUCGUUCAUGAAGAGGAAGAAAUAUUACCUGUUGGGGUGGGCAUUUGGCCUAGUGGUUAACUCCUUUGUCCCACAUCAGAGUGCCGGGGCUGGAUACCUGCCCUCACCUCCUGUGUCCAGCUUCCUGCUAAUGCGGAUCAUGCUGACAAUGAGGAUGACUCAAGUAAUUGCAGCACUGCCAUCUACAUGAGAGACCUAGAAGAAACAAAACCAGCAAGAUGUAUGUAUGACAGCACUUCAAAAAGUUUGUCAAAGUGGAAGUUAAAGGUAAGUGUAGGGGCCAGGGCUGUGGCAUAGCAGGUAAAGUUGCUGCCUAUAGUGCCAGCAUCAUAUGGGCACUGGUUCGAGUCCUGGCUGCUCCACUUCCAAUCCAACUCUCUGCUAUGGCCUGGGAAAGCAGUAGAAGAUGGCCCAAGUCCUUGGGCCCCUACACCCAUGUGGGAGACCUGGAAGAAGCUCCUGGUUCCUGGCUUCAGAUCAGCGCAGCUCCGGCAGCCAAUUGGGGAGUGAAUCAGCGGAUGGAAGACCUUUCUCUUUCUCUGCCUCUUCUUCUCUCUCUGUAACUCUGCCUUUCAAAUCAAAAAAUAAAUCUUUUUUUUUAAUCUAAGUUUAUUUUGGUGCGAAAAAUUUGAAAACUAUGUGCAGUUUUUUUCAUAAUACACAUUCCCCAUAAACUCUUUGAAGCUCCCUUGUAUAUAUAAAAAGAGACUUUUAAAAUAUUAUUAAAUAUUUAUUUAUUUAUUUGAAAGGGAGAGCAACUGAGAGAGAGAGAAAGAGAGAGAGAUUGAUCUUCCAUCCACUGGUUUAGUCUCCAAAUGGCCACAAUAGCUAGGACUGGGCCAGGCCAAAGUAAGGAACCAGGAACUCCUUUCAGGUCCCCCAUAAGGGUGGCCUGAGGUGCUGGAGGAAGUAGAUCAACCUCUUAGACUAUACAGGACUUCAACUAAUUGGAUGGGGCCAAAAUAAUGUUUGAGCAUACCUGGGUAUUGUGGCCCAGCCAAGCGGACACAGAGCUCACCACCCCAGGGCCUUUGUUCCUAAGUGACAGUCGCUAAGUCGCCCUGCCCUGUCUCGGGUGCAGUUCCUUCAUUGUACCCCUCCCGUCUCCCGUGCCCUGACUCCAGGGACCUGGGGGUCAUGGAUAUGGGAUAGGAUGGAAGAGGGGUGCUGGGUUCAAAGUUAAUCAGUAGAAUAUAGGGCUCAAAAUGUGCUUUUCUCACGGAUGCCCAGUGGGUACCUCCAGGCCAAGCCAGCCAACACUCUUUCCCCUCAGGGUUAUUUUGACAUCAACUUUCCACGCCAGGCUUCACCGACAUCCUAGUCCUGGAGGACAAGUUUGGCCAACCGCUGUCCUUCCGGCUACCCAGUACCCCGGCCUCUAGCACACACCCCAGACUUCCUGGAUCCACGUAUGUGGCUGAGCCCAGCCAUGGUGACAUUAGUCAUGUUUAUUGUUGAUCCAAAACAAGGGUAAGCUGUAACCAAGGCCUCGCCGUGGUUUCUGACUUCAGAGUUGCUCACUAACUAUAACAAGACUGUAAAAAGGACCCAAAUAGAAAUGGUGUGUGCAGCAAGAGCAGACAGGACUGGAGGCCAGACGCCCCCCCUGCAGGAAGACAAGGGAGCUCGUCUCCAUCCCUGGAACAAAGCCCUGUACACGUCCCCUUCACUGUCACCUGAGCAUUGCCUGGUUGGCUGGUUGGUUGUUUUUUUUUAAUAACAGCUGUAUUGAAAUGUUCACAUUCCAUACAAUUCACCCACAUGAAAUUUACAUUUCCGUGGCUUCAGGGUAUCCGCAGCGUUGUGCAACCAUCAUGACUAAACAAUGUCAGGACAUUUUCGGCGUUCCCCAGAGAAACCCUAUAUCCUGAAGCCAUCACUCAUUUUCCUCUGCACUCCUCAGCCCCUGGCAACCACUCAUCUACUUUCUGUCUCCAUGGAUUGACCUAUUCUACACAUUUCAUAUGCAUGGAAGCACCCAAAAAGGGGUUCUGACUAAUUUCUAAAGAGGUAAAAUGAAUGUAGAGCUUGCCGUGACAGCAAGAUAGCCACACCACAUGCUCACUUCCCAGGGAUCACUGACCAUCGCUCAUCGUCAUGCAAAAGGCUGGAAAGAAUUCAGGGAGAGUUCCAGCGGCACUGAGCAGAAAGAAAUCCUAGAAGCUAUAAAAAUUCAACUUACCAUCAAAGGAGGUUCUAGGACACAAUUAGUGGCCAAGGCAUUUACAAUGACAUCCAGAGUCCGUCUGUUGCUCGACCUGGCAGCCGGGUGGCAAAUUCCUGCAGUCCAAUCGUGUCCUUUAAAGUGUGCUUCUUGGGGAAUGUGUUCCCCUACCACUUGUAAUUUUCUUUGCUAGGGGGAUUUUGUCAGUAUGGAAGAGACAUUUUCUUUUGUUGUCAUGUUUUGAUUAAGAGAGGAGUGUAGGCCCGCGCCCCAGCUCACUAGGCUAAUCCUCCGCCUUGCAGCGCUGGCACACCAGGUUCUAGUCCCAGUUGGGGCGCCGGAUUCUGUCCCGGUUGCCCCUCUUCCAGGCCAGCUCUCUGCUGUGGCCAGGGAGUGCAGUGGAGGAUGGCCCAAGUGCUUGGGCCCUGCACCCGCAUGGGAGAUCAGGAUAAGCACCUGGCUCCUGCUUUCGGAUCAGCGUGGUGCGCUGGCUGCAGCACGCCGGCCGCGGCAGCCAUUGGAGGGUGAACCAACGGCAAAGGACCUUUCUCUCUGUCUCUGUCUCUCUCUCUCUCACUGUCCACUCUGAAAAAAAAAAAAAAAGAAGAAGAAGAAGAGAGGAGUGUAGAGGAUGUAAAAUCAAAUUUGCAUUUUACUAAAAUCACAUCAGAACCUAGCCCCAAGACCAAGAAUCCAAAUUUUGCUAUCCUGUAAUGCUGUGUCUUUGGAUGAUAAGAAAACAAAAGUGCUUAAGGGAGCCAGUAUUGUGUUACCACUGGUUAAACUGUGGCUUAUGACACUGGCAUCCCAUAUUGUAGUGCUGGUUCCCUGUUUUCUAUCCAGCUCCCUGCUAAUGUACCUAGAAAGUCAGUGGAAGAUGGCCUAAGUACUUGGGCACCUGCUGCCCACAUGGGAGACCCAGAUGGAAUUCCUAGCUCCGGGCUUUAACCUGUUAAUCCCAUUUGGGUGCUGGUUCUAGUCCUGUGUUCUACUUACAAUCCAGCUCCCUGCAAAUGCACCUAGGAAAGCAGCAGAAGAUGGCCCAAGUGCUUGGGUCCCUGUACUCGUGUGGGAGAUUUGGAGGAGGCUCCUGGACCCUGGCUUUGAAUCAGUCCAGCUCCAUCUGUUGUGGCCAUUUGGGGAGUAAACCAAAGGAUAGAAGAUUUUUCUCUCUCUCUAACUCUGCAUUUCAAAUAAAUAAAUAAAUCUUAAAAGCAAACAAAACAAUUUGUGGGGCUGGUGCUGUGGCAUAGUGAGUUAAGCCACCAUUUGCUACACCAGCAUCCUAUACAGGCACCAGUUCGAGUCCUGGCUGCUCCACUUCCCAUCCAGCUCCUUGCUAAUGGUCCUGGGAAAGCAGUAGAAGAUGGCCCAAAUCCUUGGAUCCCUGUACCCACGUGGGAGACUCAGAGGAAGCUUCUGGCUCCUGGCUUUGAUCAGGCCCAGCCUUAGCCAUUGAGGCCAUUUGGAGAGUGAACCAGUGGAUGGAGGAUCUCUUUCUCUCUCUCUCUCUCUCUUUCUCUCUGUUUCUCCUUGCCUCUUCAUAACUCUGCCUUUCAAGUAAAUUUUUGAAAAUAUUUUAAAAUUUUUCCUUUUGUUUAUUUAAAAGGCAGAGAAACAGAGAGACAGAGAUAAAACCCAUCAUCUCCUAGAUCACUCCCCAAGUGCCCACCACAGUUGGGCUGGGCCAGUUUGAAGCUAGGAGCUAGAAACUCAGUCUGGGUCUCCUACACGGGUAGCAGGGCCCCCACCACUCACAUAAUUACUUGCUUCCUCUCAAGGUGCUCAUUGGCAGGAAGCUGGGACUAGAGUGGAACUGGAGCUUGCACCCAGGUACUCCCACAUGGGAUAUGGGUAUCCCAAACCACAUCUUAACUUCUGUAUCAAACACCCUCCCUGGGUAUGAAGUUUUUCAAGUUUUCAGUUCCUCAACCCCAGUGUGAGAAAACCCUUCUGCAACAAAGGACUUCAGUAUUUCUUUUUCUAGUCAAUGUAUUCUCCCUCAUUUAACACCUUUGCACUCUCCCAAGCAAAAAAACUUUUUAGGCUGUUUCAAGGAAUUAUAAAGAAGGUUUAUUAGAAUAUAAUUUCCUUAUACAACCAUGCCUUUGCUUUAGUUCACUAAAACAUGCAACACACAUCCUGGGAUUCAUUUCUAAAACACUUUUGGGUCUUGGGAUAGUGGGUUUCAUUGUGCUACAAUUAAGUACAGAUAAGUUUCUCCUGCUUGUCUAUUUUAUGAAUAAAUAGGAGAACUCAAAAGCUCCCAAAACAAAGUAACGAAGAGGAGAGGAAAAUGUUAAUUAACCUGAUUUGAGCAGUACACAGUGAAUAUAUUGCAGUAUCACACUGCACAAUUUUUAAGUGUCAAUUAAACUUUUUUUUAAUGUUUAAGGAGAUAGAAAUGCUAACCAACCUGAUCUGAUCAUCACUCAAUGAAUAUAUGUGUUGAUUUAUCACUCUAUACCUUAUAAAUUAAAUAAAAAAUAAAGUAAAAAAUAAAAAGCAAAUAAAGCAGCUUUGAAAUGUUGAGACAAACUAGCUAUUUUAAAACAGAGGAAAGGGCUGGCAUUGUGGCACAGCAGGCUAAGCUGCCACGGGCCGUGAUGGCAUCCCAUAUCAGAGUUCUGUAUUCAAGUCCCAGCUGCUCUGCUUCCGAUCCAGCUCCCUGCACUUACGCCUAGGAAGGCAAUGGCUCAAGUGCUUGGGCCCCUGCCACACAUGUAGGAGACCCAGAUGGAGUGUUCCUGGCUUCUGAUUUCAGCCUGGCCCCAGCCCCAGCCAUUGUGACCAUUUGGGGAGUAAGCCAGUAGAUGGGAGAUUUCUUUCUUUCUCUCUCUCUCUCUCUCUCUCUCUCUCUCUCCCCCCUCCCCUCAUUGCUCUGCCUUUCAAGUAAAUAAAUAAAUAAAUCUUUUUAAAAAGAAAAAAAAAAUUAGCCAGCUUUGACAUUUCCUCUCUCUGGACCCUGGGGUAGGUAUGGUUUUGUUUUCUCAGAGUUAGAAAAUGAUAAAAUGUUGCUCAAAAAGAAAUGUAGCACAAGAGCUUAAGAAUCCUUUGGCAAGUACAGGAGGUCAGUCAAGGACCUGCAUUCGUAACAAAGGUCACUGUGGAGUCUACAGCGUGCAGCGUACGGAAGGCUGGCUCCUCUGCCAAAGGUGCUGCCCAGAUCAGCAGACUUGGGCUGGCAGGGAAAGAGCGGCAGAGCUUAUAUAACAGCAAUGACUAAAGUGGAAGAGCGAAGACAGAGGGUGGGGAGCGCCCCUGAUCCUGGCUCGCUCCACUAGCUACUUGGACACAAAGCUCUCUGUGAAGCACUCCAGGGUGCAGGAGUGUCAGUGAUAGCAGACAGUGAUGCUCCCCUCUCUUUUCUAGAAAUGCUUACAAAGCUCAGGUUACUCCACGGGCUCUUGAGCAAAUGCUAUUUUGCCUUCUUAGAAGCCCAAACCUGGCCAAAGAGGAACAGAGAAAACACAUUACUCAGUGACUCUCCUCAGUGUAGUGAACAGUGAAUACAGAUUGCAAUAAAUGCUGAUUACUCUACACAUGGCUUUCCAGUGUCACCUCUUUCUUGUUCUAACGCCGUCUUCCUGCCUGCAUUUCAGCCUAGGGAGGCAGGAAUACGUGUUCUCCUUUCCUUGCUGUCCUCCAUCACACCUGUCACACAGCAGACAGAGGACACCUGGUUGCUACUGGCUGAGUUGAAGCUGGAGAGCCACACACAGAGACAAAGAACAAACAGGGGAGAGUGGCCAUAACAGCUGGAGCUGAGCCAAUCUGAAGUCAGGAGACAGGAGCUUCUUCUGGGUCUCCCACGUGGGUCAUCUUCCACUGCUUUCCCAGGUGCACUAGAAGGGAGCUGGAUUGGAAGUGGAGCAGCCAGGAUUCAAACCAGUACCAUAUGGGAUGCCAGAACUGCAGGCUGGGGCUUUAACUCGUUGUGCCACAGUGCUGGUCCCAUGUUCAACACAUUUCAAAACCAGUUUGUGUUUUAUCUGCAGUAGCAUCGUGAAACCUAGUAUCCCAAAAGUGUUUUCGAAAUGAAGCCCAGUGAUGCAUGUUGCACAUUUUGCCAAACUAAAGCAAAGUCUUGAUUUCAGAAGCAAAUUUAGAUAUUCAAAUAAACCAUCUGUGUAGUUCCUUGAGACAGUCUAGAAAAUUUUCUGUUUCUUGAGUGUGUGCAAGAGUGUUAAAUGAGGUGGAAGUUAUCGACCAAGAAAGAAAAAUACUGGUGUCCUAUGUUGUAGAAGAUUUUCCUAUCGUUGCAAGAGAAAACCCCCAAAACUUCAAAAAGCUUGGGUAGGCAUUUGGUGCAGCAGUUAAAAUGGAGCUUGGGACAGCAGCAACCUACAUAGGGAUACCUGGGGUUAAAUCCUAGCUCAGCUUCUAAUUCCAGCUUACUGCUAAUGCACACUCUGGGAGGAAGCAUGUGAUGGUUCAGAUACCUGGGUCCCUGCCACCCAUGUGGGAGACCUGGAUUGAGUUCCUGGCUUGGGCUCCUGGCUUUGGCUUGGCCCACCCUGGCUGUUGCAGGCAUUUGCAGAAUGAAUCAGUCAAUGGGAAGCGGGAGUUCUCUGUCUGUCUGCCUUUCAAAAAAUUACACAAAAACAGCAAAAUAGUGAACACAUUCAGAUAUGGGAUAUUACAAUAAGUUGAGGGAGAAGGUUGCAUGUUGGGACCCAAAGUGAGAAAGUCUUGAACUACAAGAGAAAAAGAAGAGCAAAUUGAACAACAACAACAAAAAAAUCAGUAUUUGAAAGUGAAAAUUGGGACCAGCACCGUGGCUCGCUUGGCUAAUCUUCCACCUGCGGUGCCGGCACCCCGGGGUUCUAGUCCGGGUUGGGGCGCCGGAUCAUGUCCUGGUUGCUCCUCUUCCAGUCCAGCUCUGUGCUGUGGCCUGGGAAGGUAGUGGAGGAUGGCCCAAGUGCUUGGGCCCUGCACCCACAUGGGAGACUAGGAGGAAGCACCUGGCUCCUGGCUUCGGAUUGGCGCAGUGUGCCGGCCGUAGUGGCCAUUUGUGGGGGUGAACCAAUGGAAAAGGAAGACCUUUCUCUCUGUCUCUUUUUCUAACUCUGCUUGUUUAAAAAAAAAAAGAGGGGAGAAACUGGGGUAUCUUAUGAAAUGCCUCAAUACUGAAGUUGCCCUCUGAGGUCCCAAUAUAAUGACUGUUCUCAGUUAACAGUUCUCAUCUUAGGAUGCUCAAGACAAUGAUCAGGCAACGAUUAAAAAAGUUAGAUACCAGCAUAUGGGUGAUUGGUGCAGCAGUGAAGAUACCACUUGGGAUGCCCACAUCCUUUGGGAGUGCCUGGCUUUGAGUCCUGGCUCUGGUUCUGAUCCCAGCUUCCUGCUAAUGUGCACCCUGGAAGGUUGCAGGUGAUGGCUCAAGUACUUGGGUCCCUGCCACCCACGUGGGAGACCUGAGUUGAGUUCUAGCCUCCUGCCCUCUGCCUGACCCAGCCCUGGCUGUUGAAAGCAUUUGCAGAUGGAAGUGAAUGGAAAAUUCCCCCUCCCUCUCUUUCUCUCUGUUUUUCAAAUAAUAAGCAAGCAAACAAAUAAAUAAAACUUAAAAAAAAAUCAGAUGCUAAGGCCCAGCUCAGACCUACUGGAUCCAGAACAAAUUUUCUGGUACUGAUAUUUUUAAAGGCACAGCAGGUGAUUCUGAUGUGGUUGAGUCUGCUGCCUGCCAGGGUGCACUUGAGCAGGAAGCUGGAAUUGGGACUAGAGCUGGGACUGAACCCAGGCACUCUGUUAUGGGCUGCUCAUCCAUCAAGGGGUGUUUUGACCACUAUGCCAAGUGCCCACUACUGACAUUUUAUAAGAAGCCCAUACAUGGCAUCCUUACACAUAUCCCUCAGCACUUAUCUCCUUGAGAUAAGGACUCUUAUUUUUAAACCAUCAUUACCACAAUGACAUUAUCAACCUUAAAAAGAUGAACCAUGAUUGUAACACCAACAGAUGUCCAAUCAGUAUCCAAAUUUGCCCAAUUGUAUCAUAAACAAUAUUUUUUGUUUGGACUUGACUGAAUCAGGAUCCAGACAAAGCUCACGCAUCAGAUUUGUAUACGGUCGACUUCCCUCUCCAACCCCUUUCACCAAAAAGGCCUCUUCUGUUUUCCUUAUUGCGACUUUGGUUUUUGUUGUUGAAAAAGUCAGAUCGUUUGUCCUGCAGAGAUGGGAACAUUCUGGAUUUUUUCUGAUUCUACCACCCCCACCCCACAUAGUUUACUGGGGUAUAGUGUGUAUUUCUAACACAUUCCCUAGCCCUGCAAACAGGUAGGUAUAGUUAUGCCUAGGGGCUUGGUAAGAUUCAAAUCCUUUUUCUUUGGGGGGAGGGUGGAAGUUGGUACAGAAAUGCUCCUGUGUAGUUGCAGUUAUUAUAUACCAAAUCAGAAAAAAACUAGCAGCAUAAACAAUUUUUAAAAAUUUUUCUCAUAAUUUCAUGGGCCAGGAGUCUGGGUCAGGGAAUCAGAGUUGGCUUAUGUUUGCUCCAAGAUGUCUGGGACCUUUACUGGGGCUAAAAUAUAAGCUAAAUACACAUCAAUAGCAAUUUGACAAAUACAAUACCGUCUACAGCAUUCCAUUUCUUUAUAGUUUAUAACAGAACUUUGUCCCCAAUCCUCUUCUUUCCAACUAAUGUGUUGAAGAACCUGAGAGUGUGACUGUCUUUAUAGAGGUCAUUGAGGUUCAACUAUAUCACUGGGAGGACGGGUUCCAAGCGGAUGGGAUUGGUGUUUCUAUCACAAGAGGAGAGUAGGACAGAGAAUGGACAGAAGGGAGACCGUGUGCAUGCCAAGGACAGAGGCCUCGGGAUAAUCCAGCCCCAGCCACACCUUGACCUUGGUCUUCCAGCCUCCUGAACUGUGAGGAAAUACAUUUCUGUUGUUUAAGCCAUCGGGUUUGUGAGACUUUGCCACAGCAGCCCUAACAAGCCAACACACGGUUCCUUUUCAUUCUUAGGAUCUAUUACAAUAGGCAUGUGGAGUCAGUUUGCUGUAUUUCAGUGUUACUUGAGAUGAUUUCUCUCUCUGUGGAAUUAAAUCACUAAUUCAAUACACAAUUAAAUUUAUUUGCUUUCUUUUUCUAUUUUUUAAAAAAAGAUUUUUUUUUUUAUUUAUUUGAAAGACAGAGUUACAGAGGGAGGUAGAGCCAGAGAGAGGGAGAGAGAGAGAGAGAGAGAGAGAGAGAGGUCUUCCAUCUGCUGGUUCACUCCCCAAAUGGCUGCAAUGGCCAAAGCUAUGCCGAUCUGAAGCCAGGAGCCAGGAGCUUCUUCCAGGUCUCCCACGUGGGUGCAGGGGCCCAAGGACUUGGGCCAUCUUCUACUGCUUUCCCAGGCCAUACCAGAGAGCUGGAUCGGAAGCAGAGCAGCUGGGACUCCAACCAGCACCCAUAUGGGAUGCCGGCACCGCAGGCUGGGGCUUUAACCCACUGCGCCACAGCACUGGCCCCUCAUUUGCUUUCAAUUUUUAGGAUUUUCCUUUGGCCUCGCAGUUUUAUCAAGUUUUAUUUCAUGACCUCUAAAAUAAGGCCCAUUCUGAGGAAUCAUGUCUAACUUCUGGUUCUCUUUCCUCCAUUCUACUCCUCCAUCUCUGCAGAUAACCAUGUUUACAAGUGUUUGGUUUAUGUUUCUGGUCCUUAACAUUUUUUAAAGUAUUUAUUUUUGUUUCUUUGAAAGACAGAGAAAGAGGGAGAUAGAGACGGAAUUCUUCCUUUUGCUGGUUCAUUCCCCAAAUGCCCACAACAGCUGGGACUGGGCCAGGCCAAAGCCAGGAGCCUGGAACUCAAUUCGAGUCUCCUACGUGGGGGCAGGGACGCAAGCACCGAAGUCAUCACCCACUACCUCCCAGGGCACACAUUAGCAGGAAGCUGGAAUCGGAAUUAGAGCAGGACUUGAACCCAGGCAAUCUGAUAUGGGAUGCCAGUGUCCCAAGCAGCAUCUUAACUGCUUGUCAAACUCUUGCCUCUCUGUUUGCGUUCUUAUUUAUUUAUUUAUUUAUUUAUUUUUUUAAGAUUUGAGAGGCAGAGUUGCAGCUAGAGAGGGAGAGACAGAAAGAAAGAUCUUCCACCACUGGUUCACUUCCCAAAUGGUCGCAAUGGCAACCUUUAUAGAUGGAUAUCUGCUUCCAGUCUUUGCUUAAAGCUUCCUUUUUAUCUGAGACUGUCAGCGGAAAUCUGAUUACACCUGCCAGGGUCCUACGUCCAUCACUCAAAGUGGCUCUUUCUGUAGCUGGCCCUGAUUGUUAAGGCUGCAUCUUUCACUGUUCUCUCACUCCACAUAGGAAACAUGUUGUGAAUAACUCAAGAUCCCAUAUUCAAGGUAACACUCAUGGUGGGGCUUUUAAAGGGAAAAGAAGUAGCAAUCUAUGAUUCCGUGGGAGUCUCUUCAGCAGCCUGUCCCUCCUCCUUACCCUGUGCACCCAGACCAAGUCAGAGGUUAGACAAAUGCCUCCAGCUCAGCAUUCUGUAGCGUUGUCCCUCCUAGAGCCACAAAAGGAGUGAGCCCACCUCCCCUUAGGCACAGUCUCCCAUCAUUUAACUUGUUAAACGGUUAUCAAGUUAUUUUGAAAACUUUGUGGAAACAGAAUGAAAAGGGAAGUGUAUUUUGUUGCAAAACAUUUUGCAAUCUAUGCAUAGUUUUUCCAUAAUUCAUAUUUUCCAUGAACUUUUUGAAGACCUCUUUAUGCAAAGAUUUGAAAUAUUUUUGUGCCAAAAUAGACAUCAUUUAUUUGUUUAUUAUAUGAGAUGCAGAGAGACAGAGAAAAACACACACAGAUAAACUGAGAGGUAGAGCCCCGACCUGCUGUCUUACUCCCAAGAAGCCUGCAAAGGCCGGGAUGGGCCCAGCGGAGUUAGGAAUUCAAUGCAGGUCUCCCAUGUGAGUGGCAGGGGCCCGACUGCUUGAGCCAUCAACUCUACCUCCCAGUGGCUGCCUUGGCUGGAAGCUGGAGUCAGGGACCGAAGCCAGACACUCCAAGAUGGAAUGUGCUUCUCCCAAUCGAAGUCUUUAAUGGCUAGGCCAAAUUAUCUUUUUUUUUUUUUUUUUUUUGGACAGGCAGAGUGGACAGUGAGAGAGAGAGAGAGAAAGGUCUUCCUUUUUGCAUUGGUUCACCCCACAAUGGCCACUGCGGCUGGCACACUGUGCUGAUCCGAAGCCAGGAGCUAGGUGCUUCUCCUCGUCUCCCUUGCAGGUGCAGGGCCCAAGCACUUGGGCCAUCCUCCACU